GAUGAACGCUGGCGGCGUGCUUAACGCAUGCAAGUCGAACGAAGCACUUUGAUCGAUUUCUUCGGAAUGAAGUUUUAGUGACUGAGUGGCGGACGGGUGAGUAACGCGUGGGUAACCUGCCUCACACAGGGGGAUAACAGUUGGAAACGGCUGCUAAUACCGCAUAAGCGCACAGUACCGCAUGGUACGGUGUGAAAAACUCCGGUGGUGUGAGAUGGACCCGCGUCUGAUUAGCUAGUUGGCAGGGCAGCGGCCUACCAAGGCGACGAUCAAUAGCCGACCUGGGAGGGUGACCGGCCACAUUGGGACUGAGACACGGCCCAAACUCCUACGGGAGGCAGCAGUGGGGAAUAUUGCACAAUGGGGGAAACCCUGAUGCAGCGACGCCGCGUGAGCGAAGAAGUAUUUCGGUAUGUAAAGCUCUAUCAGCAGGGAAGAAAAAAUGACGGUACCUGACUAAGAAGCACCGGCUAAAUACGUGCCAGCCGCCGCCGUAA
This 497-nucleotide ribosomal RNA is filed under the name uncultured bacterium. RNAcentral describes it as "partial 16S ribosomal RNA". It matches the Rfam family "Bacterial small subunit ribosomal RNA", at positions 28 to 523 of the family's 1533-position model. The record is from RNAcentral.